CAAGUGUGACUUGUAAAAGAAUAUACAAGUUAAUAUUUUGAUUGGUUUUAAGGCAUUGGAUUGGUAGCUAAUUGCAAGAGGCGCAAUAUGGACAAAGAAUGGAUGUCAGCUGAUAGGAUGUCAGUAGAAUAUAUAAAAGGGGUCGAUGAGUUUCUUAAAUUUAGUUUGGAUCAUGCCAAAGAUCCAAACUAUAUUUGUUGUCCUUGUAGUAAGUGUGGAAAUAUGAAAAAGAUGACUGCCACAAUAAUAAAAGAGCACUUAUAUUUCCACGGGAUAGACAAAAGUUAUAAAAUAUGGUAUUGGCAUGGUGAAGAGCUUCAUGUUACUCCGGACCCUCCUAUGAUGAAUGAAGAUCGGAAUUAUAGGCAAUUGGAUCGUGAGGAUAAUUUAGAUGAAAUGAUUGACGAUGCAUAUUAUGAAUCAAAAGUAGAUCCCGUUAAAUUUGAAAAUCUUCUUAAUGACGCU
Long non-coding RNA from Humulus lupulus (European hop), 465 nucleotides. RefSeq lists it as uncharacterized. The record is from RefSeq and is a predicted model, not a curated record. The transcript is spliced from 3 exons. NCBI's taxonomy places the organism in Eukaryota, Viridiplantae, Streptophyta, Magnoliopsida, Rosales, Cannabaceae.